UCCUUACUGAUUCUAUUAUUAUUUAUAAAGCGGCAACAAAUUCUACAGCGCUGUACAAUGGGUGCACUAACAAAUACGUAACUGUAACCAGACGAGUCGGACGCACGGGAACAGAGGAUGUUGAGGGCUCUGCUCAGUGAACUUAUAUUUAAGAGGGUGUGAAGUAUAGUUACACAAAAGGUAAGGGUAGGGUAAAAAAGUAGGUUGCUAGAAUAGUAUUCACUAUAUGACAGUUGCAGGAGAGGAAUCGGGGUGUGGGGGGGCAAGUUAUGACCAGUUUCAUUAAUAUGCUUUUGUGAAGAAAGAAUGGAGACUUUGUGAACAUCUAAUGGAGAAAGGAAGGGAGUUCCACAG
Pelobates cultripes (western spadefoot toad) is the source of this 354-nucleotide non-coding RNA. Lineage: Eukaryota; Metazoa; Chordata; Amphibia; Anura; Pelobatidae. The record is from the annotation of a GenBank genome assembly.